CGGACUUCUGGAGAGACCUUGUUAUCAAAUGCUUUGAUGACAGCUAGAAUUUCCACUAGAGUCAGUAGUGUUUUUAAGGACUUUGUAUUACCUACUGAUGCUAAUUGGGUUAUCUAGAUUAGGCGCCGAAGGGGCAAGGUUGACUUUGUCAACUCAAACUCUCAGGCAAAAGGACAGAAGAUA
RNAcentral lists this non-coding RNA (183 nucleotides) under Streptococcus pasteurianus. Its description in RNAcentral is "Glycine riboswitch". It matches the Rfam family "Glycine riboswitch aptamer", at positions 8 to 87 of the family's 94-position model. Rfam says of the family: This family represents the bacterial glycine riboswitch. Glycine riboswitches usually consist of two metabolite-binding aptamers domains with similar structures in tandem. The aptamers cooperatively bind glycine to regulate the expression of downstream genes. Lineage: Bacteria; Bacillati; Bacillota; Bacilli; Lactobacillales; Streptococcaceae. The record is from RNAcentral.